GAAAUGCGAUAAGUAAUGUGAAUUGCAGAAUUCAGUGAAUCAUCGAAUCUUUGAACGCACAUUGCGCCCGCCAGAAUUCUGGCGGGCAUGCCUGUUCGGGCGUCAUUUCAACCCUCGAGCUCCCCUUUCGGGGGGAGCCCGGCGUUGGGGACCCGGCGCUAACAACGCCGGCCCCGAAAUGGAGUGGCGGCCCGUCCGCGGCGACCUCUGCGUAGUAACAACCACUCGCACCGGGACCCGGGCGUGGCCACGCCGUAAAACACCCCACCUUCCGAAUGUUGACCUCGAAUCAGGUAGGAAUACCCGCUGAACUUAAGC
Molecule: unclassified non-coding RNA, 318 nt
Filed under: plant metagenome
Description: partial contains 5.8S ribosomal RNA, internal transcribed spacer 2, and large subunit ribosomal RNA
Rfam family: 5.8S ribosomal RNA (bases 1-105)
Source: RNAcentral